AAUUUAAGGAAGCUGGCUUGUCAUGUUUUGGAUUUUUUGUCACAUUUUCGGAAUCCUCUGGUUUUAUCCAUUUGAAUGCCUUGAAAAAAUUUGCCCGGUGACCCCCGUUUUUCUUUUUGAAAUUCUUUAACAUUUAUAAUGAUAAGCCAUCUGUAAAAGUCUUUUAAUUACUUUUUAACAGUUUUUGAGAACUUUAACUUGUCAAUAAU
This 209-nucleotide long non-coding RNA is filed under the name Mytilus galloprovincialis (Mediterranean mussel). Lineage: Eukaryota; Metazoa; Mollusca; Bivalvia; Mytilida; Mytilidae. The record is from RNAcentral.